GGCUCGGUGGUGGAUGGUCCGCAUCUGCAUCUGCAACCCAUCCAAGUUGAGUGUCAAUAUGACUGGAGCAGAAGGUGCUCGUUCGAUUCGAGCCCGAGCCA
This is a non-coding RNA of Mycena vulgaris, 101 nucleotides long. NCBI's taxonomy places the organism in Eukaryota, Fungi, Basidiomycota, Agaricomycetes, Agaricales, Mycenaceae. The record is from the annotation of a GenBank genome assembly.